GCAAUAGAAUAGGUUUUCUCAAGGGUGGUCGGCCUAUCUCCCCAGUAGAAAGGGGGUGGUGCUGAUUGACAGUGUUUGAGUCUCUGAUGUUUGCGAUUGCAUUUACUACCUUAGUCGUAGCCAUCCUGUCAUUUAACCAUAAAAAAUAAUCCACCCUUGAGUUGACGCCUCUGGUGGAUUAUUUCUUUCACUGACAGCUGACCCCUCUACGGGAACCGUCUAUUGCUGGACUGGACAUGUUGACGCAUGUUCG
This 253-nucleotide small RNA is filed under the name Mesobacillus persicus. Its description in RNAcentral is "Bacillus sp. B48(2010) BsrG". It matches the Rfam family "BsrG". From Rfam's summary of the family: bsrE, bsrG and bsrH pair through intermolecular interactions with antisense sRNAs. Lineage: Bacteria; Bacillati; Bacillota; Bacilli; Caryophanales; Bacillaceae. The record is from Rfam by way of RNAcentral.